AUGGAGACCUGUAUGAAUGGCAUCACGAGGGCUUAACUGUCUCCUUUUCCAGGUCAAUGAAAUUGAUCUCCCCGUGCAGAAGCGGGGAUACCUCCAUAAGACGAGAAGACCCUAUGGAGCUUUAGACACUAAAGCAGCUCAUGUUAAAGCUCUAGAACAACAGAUUAAACUGAGUGACGCCUGUCCUAAUGUC
This 193-nucleotide ribosomal RNA is filed under the name Sparisoma viride (stoplight parrotfish). Its description in RNAcentral is "partial large subunit ribosomal RNA". The record is from RNAcentral. Lineage: Eukaryota; Metazoa; Chordata; Actinopteri; Labriformes; Labridae.